This 669-nucleotide ribosomal RNA is filed under the name uncultured fungus. RNAcentral describes it as "eukaryotic LSU rRNA". The stretch from base 220 to 373 matches the Rfam family "5.8S ribosomal RNA". Lineage: Eukaryota; Fungi. The record is from RNAcentral.
AAGUCGUAACAAGGUUUCCGUAGGUGAACCUGCGGAAGGAUCAUUCAUAAUCAAGUGUUUUUAUGGCACUUUCAAAAAUCCAUAUCCACCUUGUGUGCAAUGUCAUCUCACUGGAGGUCAACGGCUGUAAAAAUCCGUUGGUCACCUUUGGGAUUUAUAUCUACUCAGAACUUUAGUGAUUUUGUCUGAAACAUAUUAUGAAUACUUAAUUCAAAAUACAACUUUCAACAACGGAUCUCUUGGCUCUCGCAUCGAUGAAGAACGCAGCGAAAUGCGAUACGUAAUGUGAAUUGCAGAAUUCAGUGAAUCAUCGAAUCUUUGAACGCAUAUUGCGCUCUCUGGUAUUCCGGAGAGCAUGCUUGUUUGAGUAUCAGUAAACACCUCAACUCCCCUUUCUUUUUUGAAAUGAGAGAGCUGGACUUGAGUGAUCCCAACACUUUUCUUCACUGAAAAGUGGCGGGUCACUUGAAAUGCAGGUGCAGCUGGACUUUUCUCUGAGCUAUAAGCAUAUCUAUUUAGUCUGCCUAAAAAACAGAUUAUUACCUUUGCUGCAGCUAACAUAAAGGAGAUGAGUUCUUGUGCUGACUGAUGCAGGAUUCACAGAGACAGCUUCGCGGCUGACUUUGUAAACUCGAUCUCAAAUCAAGUAAGACUACCCGCUGAACUUAA